Aquila chrysaetos chrysaetos is the source of this 397-nucleotide long non-coding RNA. RefSeq lists it as uncharacterized. The record is from RefSeq and is a predicted model, not a curated record. NCBI's taxonomy places the organism in Eukaryota, Metazoa, Chordata, Aves, Accipitriformes, Accipitridae. The transcript is spliced from 5 exons.
AAGCAAUCCGUACCAGACAUGCACAGCAGUAGCUCCCAUGUAUCCUGUUCUCCCAUGUUCUCCAAGGAUGUGGUGUGGUAACCUGAGUCUUGGCUCACCAAAGCCGGCAAUGAGUCAAGAAAGAAGCAUGGUGUUGAAAAUGAACUUUGCACAAAGAUGUGAUUUUUUGAAGAACAUCAUCCUAAUCUGAGGUUUAAGAACUCGACACCAAAAAGUACCCUUCUAGUGCUCUGAGGCCCCGUGACAGAUACUUGAAACAGAAUAAAGAUCCUGCGUAUACAAUGGGCGUUUAUGUGAGUGAUGAUUGAAGAUUCAAGCUCUUGUCUGGCUUUUCUGUCUCUGUCAGGUACAUGCAUUUUGUUCCUCUAUUCCAAUUUCCAGCUCAAGGAGACACCGA